GACAGAGGGUGCAAGCGUUGUUCGGAAUCACUGGGCGUAAAGCGCACGUAGGCGGCUCGAUAAGUCAUAUGUGAAAUCCCAGGGCUUAACCCUGGAACUGCAUGUGAUACUGCCGAGCUUGAGUUCCGGAGAGGUUGGUGGAAUUCCUGGUGUAGAGGUGAAAUUCGUAGAUAUCAGGAGGAACACCGGUGGCGAAGGCGACCAACUGGACGGAAACUGACGCUGAGGUGCGAAAGCGUGGGGAGCAAACAGG
RNAcentral lists this ribosomal RNA (253 nucleotides) under uncultured bacterium. RNAcentral's name for it is "partial 16S ribosomal RNA". It matches the Rfam family "Bacterial small subunit ribosomal RNA", at positions 524 to 776 of the family's 1533-position model. The record is from RNAcentral.